CAUUCAGGCUAGUCUCCACACAGCUCCUGAACACUGGUGUCUGACAGUCCUCUGAAGCUCUGCUCCGAAAGGUCCCUUGUGAAGCUUUCUCCUUAGGACAUCCUCUCCCACAUUCCCCAGACCAGGCCCCUGUUUGGAUGUCAAGUGUGUCAUGACCUUUUCUGGGGAGAUGUGAAGAAUGCCAGCAGUAAGAAAUGGACCAAAGAAACACUUCCACCCAAGUCUAGCCGCAUGAACCAAUGGGUUUAACUGGGGUAACUUACAGAAGAGUUGGCAAGAAAUGAGAAACCUACAGGAAGCUACACAGUCAGUGAAAGGAAAGGGAGGUGCAAGCUGUGGAGGAGACAGCCAGACCAGGAGUCCAAGAGGCUCCUGUCCAAAUGAGCCUCGGCUGCUGCUGCCUGGCAGGCGGAUCACUCACCGGAAAGAGGCCAUGGCCAGUGACCCGGGGCAGCCUCUCCCUGAGCCCUCCAUAUGGCUCCUUAGAGAUUUCCAGUAUUUUCAGACUAAAUGGCCUGGAAAAGAAUCAUAAUAAAAUUUGUACUU
Long non-coding RNA from Meriones unguiculatus (Mongolian gerbil), 546 nucleotides. RefSeq lists it as uncharacterized. NCBI's taxonomy places the organism in Eukaryota, Metazoa, Chordata, Mammalia, Rodentia, Muridae. The transcript is spliced from 3 exons. The record is from RefSeq and is a predicted model, not a curated record.